This 86-nucleotide transfer RNA is filed under the name Kofleriaceae bacterium. RNAcentral's name for it is "tRNA-Ser". The record is from RNAcentral. Lineage: Bacteria; Pseudomonadati; Myxococcota; Haliangiales; Kofleriaceae.
GGAAGGAGCCCGGCCUGGUCGAGGACCGCGACCGCUACUCGCGUGCGCCGUAAAACGCGUCGAGGGUUCGAAUCCCUCUCCUUCCU